CCUACGGGGGGCAGCAGUGAGGAAUAUUGGUCAAUGGGCUUACGCCUGAACCAGCCAAGUAGCGGGAGGGAAGACUGCCCUAUGGGUUGUAAACCUCUCUUGUCAGGGAGCAACGCCGGCUACGUGUAGCCUGACUGAGAGUACCUGAAGACAAAGCAUCGGCUAACUCCGUGCCAGCAGCCGCGGUAAUACCGAGGAUGCGAGCGUUAUCCGGAUUUAUUGGGUUAAAAGGGUGCGUAGGCGGAAUGCCAAGUCAGCGGUAAAAUCGCGGGGCUCAACCUCGCUCCGCCGUUGACACUGGCGUUCUGGAGUGGGCGAGAAGUAUGCGGAAUGCGUGGUGUAGCGGUGAAAUGCAUAGAUAGCACGCAGAACUCCGAUUGCGAAGGCAGCAUACCGGCGCCCAACUGACGCUGAAGCACGAAAGCGUGGGUAUCGAACAGGAUUAGAUACCCGGGUAGUC
Molecule: ribosomal RNA, 460 nt
Filed under: uncultured bacterium
Lineage: Bacteria
Description: partial 16S ribosomal RNA
Rfam family: Bacterial small subunit ribosomal RNA
Source: RNAcentral